GUUGAUCCUGCCCGGCCGCCAUUAGUGACGCCGGUGAACAAACCCGUUAAAGGUUAUUUGAUGGAUUUACCUUAGUUGUGGUUUAAUUUAACGUGACUGUUGCACCAGAGGUAAUAAAUGUGAUUAGUUCAACACGCAUAUUUUAAAAGCUUGAUCAUGUCACGUUACGGUGACUGUAAAGUGUACGUGGGUGAUUUGGGUAACAACGCCAGUAAGCCUGAACUUGAAGAUGCAUUUUCGUACUAUGGCCCGUUAAGAAAUGUUUGGGUGGCGAGAAAUCCGCCAGGCUUUGCCUUUGUUGAAUUUGAGGAUCCCCGAGACGCUGAAGAUGCGAUCCGUGGUUUAGAUGGCCGUACGAUAUGUGGUCGUCGAGCUCGAGUCGAGAUGUCCAACGGCAGCCGUGGAUUUGGAGGCCGGGGGCCUCCGCCCAGAUCCCGCCUGCCGCCUCGGCCCUACGACGACCGCUGCUACGACUGCGGAGACCGCGGACACUACGCUCGCGACUGCACACGCCGCCGUCGCCGCAGGUUAUCAUUGGCCUGUGCGCCGAGACCGAACUCUUCAGAGUCUGCACUUCUUAUUAUCUGCGCUACGUAGAUUUCACUUCGCGGCGUGUACUCCGAUGAGUCGCCCGCAUCGGUAACCCCUCUGCAAACUACGUAGCUACAGGCUACGUGCGCACGUCAAUUGUCGACUACUACAUUGAGUGUAACGUUUUCUACGCGUCGCGACGCACGUCUAAUGUAAUCACUGCGCGCACUCACCGCUCUCGGUCCCGCCGCCGCAGCCGGUCCCGCUCGCCGCGCUCGGGCUCGCGCAGCCGCUCCCGUUCCCGCUCGCGCUCGCGCUCCAAGGGGCGCUCCAUGUCGCGCUCGAGGUCUAGGUCACCAUCCAAAGAAUCCAAGA
This is an RNA transcript of Cydia amplana, 906 nucleotides long. It is a transcript of the gene named serine/arginine-rich splicing factor 7-like, with no coding region annotated. The record is from RefSeq and is a predicted model, not a curated record. Lineage: Eukaryota; Metazoa; Arthropoda; Insecta; Lepidoptera; Tortricidae. The transcript is spliced from 5 exons.